This 253-nucleotide ribosomal RNA is filed under the name uncultured bacterium. Its description in RNAcentral is "partial 16S ribosomal RNA". It matches the Rfam family "Bacterial small subunit ribosomal RNA", at positions 524 to 776 of the family's 1533-position model. The record is from RNAcentral.
UACGUAGGGUGCGAGCGUUGUCCGGAAUUACUGGGCGUAAAGAGCUCGUAGGUGGUUUGUCGCGUUGUUCGUGAAAUCUCACGGCUUAACUGUGAGCGUGCGGGCGAUACGGGCAGACUGGAGUUCGGUAGGGGAGACUGGAAUUCCUGGUGUAGCGGUGAAAUGCGCAGAUAUCAGGAGGAACACCGAUGGCGAAGGCAGGUCUCUGGGCCAUAACUGACGCUGAGAAGCGAAAGCAUGGGGAGCGAACAGG